UACGAAGGGUGCAAGCGUUACUCGGAAUUACUGGGCGUAAAGCGUGCGUAGGUGGUCCGUUAAGUCUGAUGUGAAAGCCCUGGGCUCAACCUGGGAACGGCAUUGGAUACUGGCGGACUGGAGUGCGGUAGAGGAUAGCGGAAUUCCCGGUGUAGCAGUGAAAUGCGUAGAUAUCGGGAGGAACAUCUGUGGCGAAGGCGGCUAUCUGGACCAGCACUGACACUGAGGCACGAAAGCGUGGGGAGCAAACAGG
This 253-nucleotide ribosomal RNA is filed under the name uncultured bacterium. RNAcentral describes it as "partial 16S ribosomal RNA". It matches the Rfam family "Bacterial small subunit ribosomal RNA", at positions 524 to 776 of the family's 1533-position model. RNAcentral also lists the same sequence under 1 other name. The record is from RNAcentral.